This is a long non-coding RNA of Eucalyptus grandis, 436 nucleotides long. RefSeq lists it as uncharacterized. Lineage: Eukaryota; Viridiplantae; Streptophyta; Magnoliopsida; Myrtales; Myrtaceae. The record is from RefSeq and is a predicted model, not a curated record. The transcript is spliced from 4 exons.
AAGAGGAAAAUCAAGCUCCUCGAAGAGAGCUCGAGCAUCUCCCAUGGCUGCUGACGACUGACCCCGUCAAAGCGCAGAGAAGAGACAGCGACCGCCCACCCGCAAGGCCCUCCGCCCUCUCCGGCGAGUCACGGGAGAAAGACGGGAAAUUUAAGCGGGGGAGGAGAGCGAAUUCGGGGAAUGGCCGUCGCGACGAGGUCGAGAUGGGUCGCCAUGUCGGUGGCGUGGAUUCUGGUCUUGUUCGGAACCCUAGCUCUCAUCCAGAACCGAUUAAGUGAUACCGGAGCUUCGUCUGAUCCGAAACUUGUUCAUCGCAAAGUUGGUGAGGAAAGAAGAAGCCGGACGAUUUGGAAGAAGUGACUCACAAGGUUUUUUUCGAUGUCGAGAUCGGAGGAAAACCAGCGGGUCGAAUUGUCAUGGGCCUCUUUGGCAAAAA